This 390-nucleotide transfer-messenger RNA is filed under the name Candidatus Saccharimonadota bacterium. It matches the Rfam family "transfer-messenger RNA". Rfam says of the family: Bacterial tmRNA, also known as 10Sa RNA or SsrA, is named for its dual tRNA and mRNA-like properties. Its role is to liberate the mRNA from a stalled ribosome. Lineage: Bacteria; Candidatus Saccharimonadota. The record is from RNAcentral.
GGGGCUGAAUAGCUUAGACGAAAGAAACUUAAUAUUAAUCUGCAAGCCGUGUGACGAACGUAUUCGUAAGCUUAAAUGCAAACAAAGUAAAAACAGCAUUCGCUAAUUUAGCUAACGCUUUUGCACCUAAAUUAGCUUUUGCGCCGAUCGCUGCUUAAUUUGGCGAUUGCCACAACAGCCUAGCAGUUGAGGCUGUUCGUGGUAUCAUAUCUAGACUGCUUGCUUAAUAAUUAUUGCGCAAAAAUUGUUAAGGACUAACUUGCGCCGAUAGUGGGAUGCUUUGCUAUUUUUGUUCGAUCUCGCUAACUGAAAAAAAUAAAAAUAGCUAAGCUUGUAGAUGAUUGAUAUUAAUUCAUUCGGACCGGAGGGCAGUACUCCGCAGCUCCACCA